UUCUGUAGGCUGUCAAUUAAGUCAGAGGUCAAAGCCCUCGGCCCAACCGAGGAAGCGCUUCUGAUACUAGUUAACUAGAGGAAUUUAGGGGGUAGCGGAACAUAUGGUGUAGCAGUAAAAUGCGUUGAUAUCAUAUGGAACACCGAGGGGGAAGCCAGCUACCUGGGAAUUUCCUGACGCUGAGAGACGAAAGCGUGGGGAGCGAAAC
This 208-nucleotide ribosomal RNA is filed under the name uncultured bacterium. RNAcentral's name for it is "partial 16S ribosomal RNA". It matches the Rfam family "Bacterial small subunit ribosomal RNA", at positions 567 to 774 of the family's 1533-position model. The record is from RNAcentral.